This 153-nucleotide non-coding RNA is filed under the name Streptomyces auratus. Lineage: Bacteria; Bacillati; Actinomycetota; Actinomycetes; Kitasatosporales; Streptomycetaceae. The record is from RNAcentral.
UUAAGGUGUGCGGGACAACUUCAUCCGUGCCCGAUCGGGGGAAGCCGGUGGAAAUCCGGCGCUGACCCGCAACCGUGAGGACGGCCCGUCCACGCCACGCCGGCGCGGAGCGGCCGUACGAGCCGGAACACCCGAGGGGCACGACCAAGGCUC